CGGGUCCAAAGGAACAGGACUUCCUGGAACUCAACCAGCAACAUUCUUAAUACUUAAACUUCUCUUUAGAACACCACAAAGGUCCUCUGCCUUCCCUAAAAUGCAGAAAUAAUUUAACUAUUUACAAACUUGGAGAUAAACUGUGCUACACAUAGCCCUGUUCCCAUGGGGAAAGCCUAGGACCUCCCAGCCAUCCUUUCACAACCACCCUACCUGCAGGUGAGUAUUUCCUCUAACUUCCUCAUAAUUGUCUCUGCUGUCAUGGUAUAAGUUCAUCUUUG
RNAcentral lists this long non-coding RNA (281 nucleotides) under Fukomys damarensis (Damara mole-rat). RNAcentral's name for it is "lncRNA (ENSFDAG00000027282.1)". Lineage: Eukaryota; Metazoa; Chordata; Mammalia; Rodentia; Bathyergidae. The record is from RNAcentral.